Long non-coding RNA from Bombus terrestris (buff-tailed bumblebee), 11650 nucleotides. RefSeq lists it as uncharacterized. The transcript is spliced from 2 exons. NCBI's taxonomy places the organism in Eukaryota, Metazoa, Arthropoda, Insecta, Hymenoptera, Apidae. The record is from RefSeq and is a predicted model, not a curated record.
UUUAAUCACCGUAUAUCAUACCAAAAUAUCUUCAAGCGUUAUAUAAUUGAAAUGCAUUAUAGGUAACAACAUACAAAUAUCUAAAAUGUAGAACGCACUCUUUAUAAUAUUUAGCAGCAAAAAUAAUUCUCUGCUUAAAUUGCGUUUUUAUCAAAAUAGUUCACAAAAAUAAAUACACGGUCUAUUUAUCGCUGUAUAUUCGAUCAAAGCGAUAGCCGGUAUUUUGAAGAUGGAAGGCAAUAAAAUUGGACGUGGUCGUUUAUUGCGUUCGCGUUACGCGCAUAGCCGCUCGAAAUUAGUGGAACAAUGUCGCGAUCGAGUCCUUCUCGAAGCAUGUCAGGAAGUCAAUUUGUGGUUAGUCCAGCAUGAAGCGUAUUACAGUCAUCAACGUUGAAAGUUCUAAAACGCGUUCCACGCGAAGGUUGAAUUGAACGUGAUAAAACGGGAAUGUCGCGGUUGCCUUUUUUUUUAUUAACUUUUAUUAGAGAUUCCGGAUAAAUAAAGUUUUUACCUACGCUUUGUGGAAACUGUGUAUGAACAAGAUUUAUCUGGUCCCGUUUCUUUGACAUCUCUGCUUUUCUUUGUUAUUUAUUUUUUUUUGGAAUUUAUUUUUUUUUUGGAAUUUAUUUUUUUUCAAAUAUUCAACAUUCCGAGUUGAACUUAGGAUUUAACUUUAUAAUCUCGUUGUUUCUUUAUUUUUCUUUCUUUUUUUCAUUCUCUUAUCUUCCUUUUUCAUCUUUUUUACAAGAUGGAAAGCUUUACGUGUAACUUUCGAGAUAAUGAAACCAACGUAGAUAAAGAAAUGGUAUUUUUAUGCGCUAGUUUACACAUAUUAUUAGCAUACAAUUGUCCGGUGCCUUUAUUUGAAUUUCAAAAGACCGAAUCAAUCGAAAGUUUUACUUUUGAUGGAAACUCAAAUGAAUUCGACGUUUAAUUUUGUUAUAUUGGCGGCGCGUUGUAGACAGUAGCCACGGCGAAUACGUCAAUCGAAAAUACAAAAUCGAUUGUUCCUUCGCUCUCUUUUUCUACGAAAAUCUUUGCUAUGGAAUUUCACAUUCAGAUAAUUUCACAUUAAAAUUCUGUACUGAAGUGUCAUGAUAUUUUGUAGAAUGUUCUGCGUGUUACAUUUUUUUUUUAGAACCAGGCAUCUUUCUUUUUUUAUUUUUAGGUGCUAUUAAACAUAGGUCGAGAGAAGGGUUGAAUAAGUGAAAAGGUCGACUUAUUUUUCGAGCAAUAAUUUUUCUUUCCAGAAAUUACACUUUGUUUUUAAUAUAUUGUUAUAUUACUAAUUAAUGUUAAUUUUAUAUUACUACUUACUAGUUACUUAUUGAUAUUAUAAAACUAUUAUGUAUAUCAUAUAAGGGUAGUAACUUUUGUGUCGUAGUGUGAUAACUUUUAACAAACUAUUGCAUGAACGAAGUAAACACACUCUUUUCCGAAUGUAAUCGAAUUCAGUGAUAAAAAAAGUGUCGUAUCGGAGAAACCAAACACAGAAUUUAGAAGACUAUCUUAUCAAUAAAAAAGGCGUGUACGGGACCAUGAAAAAUCACGAUGAUGCAAUGUUAAAAAUUUUGGAAGUUAUAUUAACCUAUAGCGUUUCUAUAACAUACAAUAGAUAAAUUUUCCCUUUUUUUUUUAUAAAAUUCUUGUAAUUUCUAUUCCGUUGCUAAUAUCGAUCUAAAAAUGUAGUACGGAGUUAAGAAUAUCUGUAUUAUUUUAUGUAUUAUGUUUUAUUUAGUUAAUCGAUUAGAUUUUAUAAGUACUAUCGUUAAUUAAUAGACUGCGAAUUUUUAUACAUUCGUAGGAAAUUUGAAAGUGCCAAGUUGCACAGAAUGCGUGUGAUAUGAAAAAUCGCGCAAGAAUUCCAAAGUAUAGUGUUUUCUAUAAUAUAGUAUAGUAUAGUGCUUGGUAAAACAAUUUUCUUGUGCUUUUUUAAUUAUAUUCCUAAAAGUCGGAAUUUUCGUAAAGAUCCGCAGUCUAUCAAUUAGCGUUAACAAAAGAAAAAACAAAAAUUCAAAUAAUCCGAAGCUUCCCGUAUUAUUCCUUUCUCGGAAAAGAAAUUCUUCUCUCAAAAGAAUUUUCAUCUCUUUAUGUGGCACGUGCUAGUUACUUAUUUACGAAAAACGUAAACGUUCGCAGGGGAAACGAAUCCGCGCGUCUAGAUGUGUUCGACAGAGGCACAUCUCAUUGUGCAAGAUUCUGUGAAUCGGCGAACUGUUCGCGAUUCUACGAAUGGCGGUCGCGAUGGCACGAUUCGCACGUACUCCAUGAAAUCAUUGUCUAGUCUCAGCGUAUUAUUUUUACACACUGCAAGAUGUUUUCCGUACGUGGUCGCUUUGUCUUCAUCCCAUGAUCUCCCUUUGAGCUUUUGCAUAACCGUUUGCUAUAACGUUACGUGUCGAACGAAUGACAUUUGCGAUGAAAUUUGGCUAAUUUGUAACAGAAAUAUUCCGUCGGAGCUGUAAACGAGAGAAAAUCGUAUUAAUGAAAAAAAGAGGAGAGAAAGAAACAUUGUGUUUAUUUUGUUUGGAACGUCAAAGUUUACUACAAACAUAAAAGCAUUAGAAUACAAGGGCAUUUUAGAGUAGUACGUGUACAAGAAUACAUGGAGUAUUUACAUUUGACAGGACUUCACAUAAAAACGCAUGAAUUAUCAUAACUGAAUUGAUAUUUUAAUUAUGAAAUAAUAUAACGAAACAAGAUCUGCAGUGUAGAGAAUACAACGAAUAAGUCAGAAGAUUAUAAAAAAUUCAGUCGCACUAAAAUUAUUUUUGACGCACUUUGUCAUCUUCCACGAGACAGAGUUUUCAAUCUAAGAAAAAUCCUAAUACGUUUUUAAUCUGACAAUGAGCAGAAAUGGAAGCACAGUUUUCAGAUUUGUCCGAUUAAUUGCAGCGUCUAACUAAACUGAUAAUACCUAUGACAGAGAUAUUGUUACACGCUAAUUCUAAUCGGCAGACAGUACGGGUUCAAUCAAUUAUAAAUAUCGCCGAUGUAUUUUUACACAACGCCCGUUGGUGAGUUGACACGUUAACGAGGGUCAAUCAGAAUUUACCGAAUUAAAAUGGUGGGAGGUGGCACGAUAUAAGAAAGCGUCGGUCAAAUGGAAUCACUCUUAAAUAUUAAAGCCGAAGUAUAAAAUAUUUUAGGAUCAAUAGUAUUCUCCCUGUCUCGUCUUUUGUUCCGGAGAAAAUAAAACCAUCGUUGCGUAUAGUUUUGUACGCUGUUGCACAAUAACGAUGACAUUUCGUCCUGAACGGUUCGUUAACGAUAAAAAUGGAAAUCCCCUUGUUCAUGAUAAACCGUAUGAUUCGAGGUAGAUUUUUAAGUAGAAUAGCGCACCACCAGUUUCCUUACUGUUAUCAGGAUUUAUUUGAUUCGUCGUCGUAUAGAAAUAUAUUAUAAACACUAUGAAGAGACUUAAAUAAAGAGGAGAGAUACUAAGAAAGAUUAGUCAUGAGAAUGAAAAUAUGUAAGCGGAAAGUAUCCUUACGUGAAAUAAAAAAAAGAAAUAGAGGAAAUGAUUAAUAUGUUUCUUGUGAUUAUUUCGGGACCUAAAACCAAGAAUUGGAAUUUUUUGUGAGUAUAAGAAUAAUUCUUAACUAACUUUUACUUUAAGCAAAUCUAAGUUUGAUGUGAUUUACUGAUAUAUAAAAAUAAUUUAUGUUGGUAAAUUAUAUACUAAUCUAAAUCGUUUCUUAAGUUGAUACACUAAUAAGAUUAAUGAGAAAAUUAUUAUAAAUGUUUCGUACAACUUUUUAUCCCAUUCUUUUUAAUUAUUAGUCACAUCGACAUCUAGGUCAUUAGCGACAAGUUUGCUUCUUCAGUUUACUAUAGUUAAAUUUCUUGCUGGAGUUGAGGCUCCUUCAAGUUACUUGCAUCUUUGAUGUCGUUUUUUCUAUACUAAAUUCGAAUAUUAAUUAAAUUAUUCAAUUUAUAAACAAAAUAACGUAAUGACAAAGUAUAGGAUUGUAAUUAGAUUGCGAACUUUCAUGCAAAUUCAUAUUUUUGGGGAUAUAAUUGGAAAAGUAGAACUUGAGUAGAAAAUUGUUUUACUUAUCAAAUGUUGUAAAAAGGGCUGUUUUCACAUCAUACGCAUUUUGUGCAAUUUUAUACUUUCACAUUUCCUAUAAAUGCAUAAAAAUCCUCAGUAUAGAGCUAGGUGAAUUUAAUACUCUUAAAUACGAAUUUUCACAAAAAAAAAAAAAAAAAAAAGAAAAAAGGAACAGCAUUUGUAUGUUCACAAUUUGUCUAAUCCGAUUAAAAAGUUAUCGGCUUUUAAAUUUUUAUUCAGCGAUAAUUUUUUUUUAAAGCGUGAGCGAACGAAAAUUCUGGGUGAACAAUCGUGGACAAUCAUAUUCCACUUAAAAAUCAAUAAAAAAGUUUAUGGGAUGGCGAUGUCAAAUUUUUUAAAAUUUUCAUUUGGUGAUAACUUUUUUUUUGUUUUAAUGACCGAUAGAAGAAAAUUUUGGUUACAGAAAUGUGGUCAAACGAAUACUGUCUCUUCUUUGUAAAAAUUCGCAUCUGGCGGUGCUAGUUAUAUACCAUACGCAUUGUGUGCAUUUUUGCAUCUUCAAAAUUUCCACAAAUGCACAAAGAAAAUUGAAUAAGACGCUAUAGCGUUGUGGUCGAAUCUGUGGUAAUAUUUUAGUAGUUGUAGCGUUUCUUCAGACCCACAAAGUGAAACGGUUUCUUGAAUAAUUCCAUGGCCGUCUGCAUGAUAGAGCUAAAGGUUCAUUUUAGAAAAUGGUCGCGUGCCGUCGUUCACGUACACUCGCUCGCCUGUCUUGCGGAAAUAACAACGUCUGCGUAUACACGUGCUAUUAAUUGCGAAAGCAGCGUCAACGCUCGUGUAUAAUAAUUUUCAGUUCGCGUGGAUGGCCACGUCUGACAAUUUCAGCCGUGUUUUAUUGCGAUAAGAUUGAAGUACGCGUUACCGUAUAUCGAUUGCGAUAAGAACGCAUCUGGGUACAUUCGCCUGGAUUUUAAUUGGUAAAUAUCGGAUUGACUCGCGAAAGAGAAGAUCCUACGAAUACAAACAUUCGCCUGGAUUAAUAUUUUUAUUUCUUUUCAUCCAUAUUGUCUAUACCUUUUUUUUUACAUUUUUUCACGAUAUCUUGAACUAUCAUAACGAUGUUAUCUAUGUUAUACAGAUUAUCCGUAUUAUAGAUAGAACACGUCGAUGUUUGCUAAAUUGAAAAUUAUUUCGAAAAUUAUAUUUGUUAUCGAAGAGUAUUGCGUUAAGAUUAAGUUUCCAAUUAUUGUGUGAAAUGAACAAUAUGUUUCUAAUUACUAUAUAAAUGUUCAUCAUUGCAUAAAUAAUGCAGUCUUGAUUGAAAAAAUUAUAGGUAGUCGUUAUUUAAUUUUCAUAGUUGUGGGUGUUUGAAUUUGAAUCCUUUUUAAUUUUCAAAUUUCAAAUUAGUUUAAACAGAGAGCAGUAGUGAGAGAGAAAGAGAGAGCGAGCAGUGAUUUUGCUUCUCAAAUUCAUCUACGUAUCAUAUUUGAAAUAAAUUUUUAAAUAAUUAGAAAAUUCUCUGCAAUUCAAUUGUACGCGAUAUUAACGAUAUUGAUGUUUUGUUUUUAAAAUAUGCAUGAAUAAGCAUCUUAUCUUCAGUUUUAUCAAUUUAUAGGUUUAAGCUUUAAGCUAUGCGGCUGGAAGCUAAUUCGCUGUUAAAGCUUACGAGCUAAUUAUCUAAUAUUCCUAAAAAGCGCUCAAAGAUUCCAUCGUUAAAUUAGAUAAUACGAGACCCUCGACAAGUUAUGAAACUCUGUUAUAGUAAAAUUCAACGUUGGCCGUAGAAACGGGUCUCGUGGACAUUGGACAUUUCAGGAACUACGUGCUGGCAAAUAAAGUAUCAAUGGAGGAACAAUUCUCUUGAAAACUUUUAUUUCGUGUACCUUCCUAAUAAAUAAAUUUACAAACUGUCUUAAUUUUUCCACAUUUUCAUUAGAAAAUAAUAAAGUAUAUUUCUCUACUAUUUAUAAUAAUAGAAUGUUUUUGAUGCAAUUAGUAUAGAUUUAGAUGUUUGCGAAUAUUAUCCAUAUUAUUGCGAAUAUUUCCCAUAUUAAUAAAACUGUUUUCCAGAGCAUAAAUAUUUAAUUAAUCUGAAUUGAAAUGUUUUCGUAUUUUAACACAACGAUUUGUAACGUGUACCUGAAUACGCAUAGAUGAUUAUAAUUAUAUUAAUAGACUGAAAAGAAAUACGUAUACGUAUAGUCACGUUUCUAUUUGAAUAAAAGUCAACAAGAAUUUUGCGAAAAUUAUAUAUGUAUUUUUAGCAAUUAUGAAAACGAUAAAUCUAAAAGUCAUGAGCAACGUGAGUUGCAGUGUCUCAUGUCUCUUUCUCGAAACAAGUUAAUUUGUCGCAAAAUAAUUCAAUUCUUGAUAUAUUGCUGCGACAAUCAAGCUGUCAACGAUAAUGAUCUCCAAGGUACCGACGAAUCUCUUGUAACAAUAGCGGUUACCGACCUACAUAGUUGUAAGCCGUGGAAGAGGGCGUAAACUUGUAUAGCUAGAAAUUAAUCCCGGUGUGUGUGAUCGUACGACAAUCAUUGUUCCACCGGAUGUUAUUUAUAAAUACGAACGUGUGACGAGAAAUUUGUAUAGAAAGUAUGCCACUCUCGUUUGCUCUUUUAUUGAAACAUUGAGCUAGUCUGCGUACUAGUACGUAUUGAGUUGCCGGAUAUGUCUGAAACCUGUUCUAUCAUGAAUCAUAAAUUUUAUUCGGUUAAACUUCGUUCUGGUGCACCAUUUUCUUUUAAACUUUGUUUGCAGCUUCUGAUAGCACUGACUGAUGAAUAAAGACGAAGUGUAACAGUUUCGAGUCCAGCAAUCCGUUGGUGUAGAAGUUAUAGCCGAUAGAUGAAUCGAUUUGGUAAAUAUCAAUUUGAGCAAGGGUUGGGCAAGGUGUUGACAGAAAGUAACUAUGUAUAAGAUAGAGUAAGCCAUACACGUAGAUAGUAGACUAAAUUUACCAAACUUCAACAACGCAUGACUUUUGAAUCAAUGGAUUUGCUUCUAUUCGUCAAUUACUAUCAGACUAUGUAAACAAAAUUUUUUUAAAUGUGGUGCCUCAAAUCGAAGUUUAUCCCUUUAUUCCGAUAUUUUGCAAUAAUAUAAUUGAGCCAAAUAAAUAUGCGUCAUUCUGUUCAAUAAUUUCCGUUAGCGGUUGAGUAAUGCCGUUAUUCCAAUCGUGUAGAAUCGUUGUUGUUUCUGAAUAAAGGCGUGACCUCAGAAAGAUUCGUGGAUUUAUCCGACAACCCAAUAUAUUAACGUGAAACACGAACGAGAUCGUAUAACGGUACGAUUUGUGGAGUAAUACUUUUCUUUAGAAUUUUAUACUCAAUUGCUGAGUUUCAUAGCAAAGAAUGAUGACGUUUACACGUGCACAAACCGUACAAUUUUUUCGAUGAAAUACUAGAACAUAGAAAUUCUCGUGUGUCUACUACGCCACACGUAUGAACUAUGAAAAUUCGAUUUACGUACCAGUAUACCGACAUUCGAAUUCGAUGCGCAACAUUACAAAUAUCGGAUCUCGAACGAGUCUGCAACGUUUCAGAUUUGACGAAUGGUGUACAUUCUCAUGGGUUUCACGCAUACUUUCAUAAACUUUCAAGUCGAUCACGGUCGCGCGAUCGCAUGCCAAUAGAUGAAUAAUUUUCAACGAGAUUCAGUGUUCAGGUUUGUGUGCAAUGGCUGCGAUCGUUGCUCGCCGUUGAUCCGUAAUAUAUUACGGUUUCGUGUACUUCCGUCUGCACCAGGUUUUGAACUCGAACUGUGACUGCUGAUAAACUAGCGCUGAAAAAAGUCGCACGUGCCGUAUUUGGCAGAAUGUCUGGCGAAUACAUUCGCGUUCGAUGAGUUGUUUUGCGAUUCUCGCACAGAUAUGAAGAUAGCGCGUGAGCGUAUCAAGAAAGCGAUAUAAAGUAGCGAACAAAAAGUAGUUUAAGUGGUACAAUAAAUACCAUAAUCUUACAAAACAGAUUGUAUUUGAUAAGAGCACAAAUAUAGUACGAUAUAUGUUAUAUACUCUUGAGAAAUAUCUUACACAAAAAUUACUAAUGUGUGGAUAUACACAUAUAAAUUAUUUAGUAAACUUCAAACUCUUUUUGGUUCGCUACUGUAAAAUUCGCGACUCGAACUCUUCUAGUAAAUAUGCAAAUGCAACAGAAAUCAACGAUCGACAUCGGUGUGCAUGCAUGAUUAAACAUGGACAAAAGGGUCUCUAUGCAACGUUCUCUUUCUAUCGCCAUAUCGCAUCCACUUACAUGGUCACAUAUGACUGGCGUAUUUCAUAUUUGUAUCUUUAUAGCAAUUUUCGAGAAUCGAGGAUAGUGGGAAGAUAAAGUUAAUUAUUUUAAACAAUUUCGAACCGAGAAACGUUUAUUUAGAAGUCGACAUUCGCAUUUAAUGAGCUACGAUUUUAGAGAAUCAAGUACGCUAUACAUUGGUGUAUAAAGGAAAUCUAGUAACUUAAUGAUGCAAAAAAAGAUAAUGAUUUAUGCAGAUAUUGGUUGAUUUAGUAGGUAGAUUUCUUCCAGCUAGUUUUCAUCGAAUUAAAAUAUGUAAUUCGAAUGGCGAUGUAGCUUGACAAGUUUCGAAACUCGACUUCCUCGAAAAUGAAAUGUUAUGCUUGAUUUUUGUAUUAUUUUGAACUGGUAUACUGGUCUACCAAGAACUUAGAUCCAUGAUAUUAUAUUUUUGUAUGAAACUUAUUGAAUGUAUCAAAUAUCAGUGUGCCAUAAAUUCUGACCUGCUUGUAUUAAUUACAUAAUUCUGAUGUUGUUUUUUGUAUGUAGCCUGUACUGAGUUCGAUUGUUAAACAAUAUUGAAUCGAAGGAUGUUAAUUUCUAGGUCAAUCGUUUUUCUGUUUUUAAAUUUGGCAUUAGUCCAAGAGGAAACGAGUUGGUGGCAGUUUUAGUUACAGAUCGAUGUCUUUUUUUGCUAUCAGUGAUAUUAAAGUACGAAUCAUUGCGAAUUAUUUUUACAUAGAAAUUUAUGCUUUCAAUAAGAAGAUCAAUCGAUAAGCGAAAUUGUUUACGUAUUAUAAAAUAAGAAGCAGAAUGUGACAUUUAAUAUUACGUAUCGUUGUAACGACGUUCUGAUCUUACUUUACCAUUUCUUUUCCUACUUAAGAAUUUCUUAUGACAAAUAAACAAUAGUAUUUUAAAAAUAGAAUAGAAAAUGUAUGUAAUGAAGUUUCAUAAACAAAAAGGAUAAGAAUAGACUUAAAUUUUGUUGGGAAAAUAAAUCGUGUAUCUUAUCUUAUAGGAUAAUAUUCGAUGAAUUAAAAGCUUUCAAAGAGUAGAACAAAAGUUAGUUGGAAACUAGUUAAAUAAUUCUUGCCAAAUCAAUCAAGAAUUUGUUUUCAAAAAUGUCUUUAUUAUUGAAUGAGGAAUUAGGGGAACGUGUAAUUUUAUUGCAUCACAGGAGACAUUGUAACGUCGUACAAAGAGGUAAAUAUGUAGUCGUCAAUUAUUUAGAGCUUAAUAGUCCCGGAGAAUUGCAUUGCGAGAUUAGUUGGACAUGUUACGCGUCAUACCAGUAACAGGGGAUCAAAUACAGAUGACAUCAGAUCCGAGAAACCCAAUAAACACGAUCUGCAACAUAGUAUAGAUCACGGUUCAGAUUAUCUCGGAUUCGUAGAACAUAAUACGAACGACCUCAAAGUGCAUGAGAUGCGAUAUUGACGAUUAAAAAGUAGUAAAGCACUGCACAGACGAUUUAACAUAUGUAGACAGAAUACGAUACAGAUUGUAUCAAAUAGGUAGAAUCACGUUUUUAUUAGCCUAAGAUAUGUACAAAUUAAUUUAUCCUACUAUACAAUGCAGCUCCACUUAGUGGAACGAAAUUUUAAUUGAUGCUCGAUUAAAUAAACAUCGACAACUGAUUCCACUUAUCUGAACAUGAACUCUUACACAUAUAUGUAAAUUGAUAUAUAUUUAAUAUAAUUGAAAUGAGAAUCCAUAAUUUCAGUUCUACGGACUGUUUGACCUCUGAUGGAUUCAAAUAAAUUAGAUUUUAUCGUAGAUGGUAUUUGGUGGGCGGGCAAAACAGCAUGAAUCAAAUAUUUGUCAAAAUAUUCGGAUAAUUACGCUGAUAUACAUAAAUAUAUUCGAGGUGUAUUUAAAAAGUAAUCGAUCUGUUUCUAUAAAAAUGUUUACAUUUCAUUUAAUGAAAAAUGUACAGCGUUCCCUUCGAAAUAGUUCUCUUGAGAAAUUAUACACCGCCGUAGGCGGCUGUUCUUUCCCCUGAAAGCAGUGCUGGAAUUCUUCUAUCGAAGCUGCUUUUAGUUGGUCGGUUACAGCCCUUUCGAUGUUGUUCACGGCUGCAAAAAGAUGUUUCUUAAGAUGGCUUUUGAUUUUUGAAAAAAAGGAAAAGUGACAGGGACUCAAACGAAUGACACUUGCAACCGUAAGAAUACGUUUGCUGGUCAAAAACUCGUUUAGAUAGUGCAGUGUAAGAUGCUGCUCGAUGCGUUGCUGUCCCUUUUACAUAACGCGUUACUGAAACACACUUUUAUAAAAGUCGCCGCGAAAUCGCUCGCGUUAGCUAAAUCGAGUUGAAAUUAAUGACGAUAGAGAUAUACAUCUGAAAUAAUAUUGCAGCAUUGGUACAAUGUUGAGGAUUUCCAAGAAUUAAAAUCUGUCUCAUUACUGUUUAAGUAUGUACAUCUUGUACAUAUUUAAUAAUAUGUAUUCCAUAUCGCUGUUCUUUGCUUAUGAUUCUAAUAGUACAAGCCCAUUUCAAUUCUCUCCCGCUCUUUUAAUUGAUAUUUUAAUAUUAUAAUAUAUGUCAAAAAUACAGCGUAAAGGUAGGAAAAACAAAAACAGUAUCAGUUGAAUUAUACUAUAUUGUUCCUGUCCAUCAGCGAUAUAAAAUACAGCUUGAGUUCUUUGUUCUUGCACUCUACCAUUUCAACAUGGAAGAAAAGUACAUAAUAACUAAUCUAAGUACUUAAUUUCGUAAUAGCACACCUUACGAAUUUAUAAGACUCGCAAUAUUCUCGCCUCAUGAGAAAUCAAAUAGCGUUAUCAGCGGAAGCGGAGCAUAAAAAACAUGUGUUUCGUAUGUCGAAAUAACUCGAGACGAAAAUGGUGCUUAUAAAUUAUCACGUUUAUGUCGACAAUGUCGAUACUAAUUGAUCGAACUCGGAUCCAUUUGGCAAGCUCCGUUACAUCUCUAACAUCGUCUCAAGUUACCAUUUUGACAUAUGGUUUGACGUAUGCUUUCUUAUGCUUGAUCGAAUCCGCGAUAACUGAUAACGUUAUUUUGUUUCUAUCGGCUAUAUGUCCAGUAUAUUGUAAACACACUCGCUUAUGAUGUAUUACAUUUCAAAAAUUUUAUCAGUUUGAACAGAGAAAGGGAAUACUGUUACGCGAGAAUAGUUUCUCAAGAACAAGGAAACAUAAUUGCGCGUAAUGUACUCUAUGAGUCAUUAAACACCUGACUUAUAGACAUGAGAAAACCAUGUACUGGAGUACUAUUGUACGUAUUAUACGAUAACUUUGAAGAUUCGAUGUAGUUUCUUACUCUUCUAAGUUGUCCUAUUUUACAGUUGCUGAGUUCUAUGUAAGAUAGCAGCUUCACUUUGUUUUUGUUAAAUAGUAUAAUUGUAUUGAUUAAUUAUUACAAUGUUGAAAAAGUUCA